CUUAAAAGUUCUCCUAACACA
This 21-nucleotide transfer RNA is filed under the name Allobates talamancae (Talamanca rocket frog). RNAcentral describes it as "partial tRNA-Phe". Lineage: Eukaryota; Metazoa; Chordata; Amphibia; Anura; Aromobatidae. The record is from RNAcentral.